Angiostrongylus costaricensis is the source of this 83-nucleotide non-coding RNA. NCBI's taxonomy places the organism in Eukaryota, Metazoa, Nematoda, Chromadorea, Rhabditida, Metastrongylidae. The record is from Rfam.
CCGUCGAUAUCUCAGUUUGUAGAGCGGAGGACUGUAGAGUUGCAGCAAUCCUUAGGUCGCUGGUUCGUGUCCAACUCGACGGA